UUUAAGCUUCCUACGGGAGGCUGCAGUGGGGAAUAUUGGACCAUGUUUCGCAAGCCUGAUCCAGCCAUGCCGCGUGUGUGAAGAAGGCCUUAUGGUUGUAAAGCACUUUAAGCGAGGAGGAGGCUACUUUAGUUAAUACCUAGAGAUAGUGGACGUUACUCGCAGAAUAAGCACCGGCUAACUCUGUGCCAGCAGCCGCGGUAAUACAGAGGGUGCAAGCGUUAAUCGGAUUUACUGGGCGUAAAGCGCGCGUAGGCGGCUAAUUAAGUCAAAUGUGAAAUCCCCGAGCUUAACUUGGGAAUUGCAUUCGAUACUGGUUAGCUAGAGUGUGGGAGAGGAUGGUAGAAUUCCAGGUGUAGCGGUGAAAUGCGUAGAGAUCUGGAGGAAUACCGAUGGCGAAGGCAGCCAUCUGGCCUAACACUGACGCUGAGGUGCGAAAGCAUGGGGAGCAAACAGGAUUAGAUACCCUUGUAGUCGA
This 478-nucleotide ribosomal RNA is filed under the name uncultured bacterium. RNAcentral describes it as "bacterial SSU rRNA". It matches the Rfam family "Bacterial small subunit ribosomal RNA", at positions 329 to 797 of the family's 1533-position model. The record is from RNAcentral.